This 447-nucleotide ribosomal RNA is filed under the name Citrobacter freundii. RNAcentral describes it as "partial 23S ribosomal RNA". It matches the Rfam family "Bacterial large subunit ribosomal RNA", at positions 2355 to 2801 of the family's 2925-position model. Lineage: Bacteria; Pseudomonadati; Pseudomonadota; Gammaproteobacteria; Enterobacterales; Enterobacteriaceae. The record is from RNAcentral.
AGGCAUAAGCUAGCUUGACUGCGAGAGUGACGGCUCGAGCAGGUGCGAAAGCAGGUCUUAGUGAUCCGGUGGUUCUGAAUGGAAGGGCCAUCGCUCAACGGAUAAAAGGUACUCCGGGGAUAACAGGCUGAUACCGCCCAAGAGUUCAUAUCGACGGCGGUGUUUGGCACCUCGAUGUCGGCUCAUCACAUCCUGGGGCUGAAGUAGGUCCCAAGGGUAUGGCUGUUCGCCAUUUAAAGUGGUACGCGAGCUGGGUUUAGAACGUCGUGAGACAGUUCGGUCCCUAUCUGCCGUGGGCGCUGGAGAAUUGAGGGGGGCUGCUCCUAGUACGAGAGGACCGGAGUGGACGCAUCACUGGUGUUCGGGUUGUCAUGCCAAUGGCAUUGCCCGGUAGCUAAAUGCGGAAGAGAUAAGUGCUGAAAGCAUCUAAGCACGAAACUUGCCCCG